RNAcentral lists this ribosomal RNA (425 nucleotides) under uncultured bacterium. RNAcentral describes it as "bacterial SSU rRNA". It matches the Rfam family "Bacterial small subunit ribosomal RNA", at positions 354 to 796 of the family's 1533-position model. The record is from RNAcentral.
GUAAGGAAUCUUCCCCAAUGGGCGCAAGCCUGAGGGAGCGACGCCGCGUGGAUGACGACGCGCUUCGGCGUGUAAAAUCCUUUUCCCCGCGAUGAGAUGGACAGUAGCGGGGGAAUAAGCCACGGCUAACUACGUGCCAGCAGCCGCGGUAAUACGUAGGUGGCAAGCGUUGUCCGGAAUUACUGGGUGUAAAGCGCGUGUAGGCGGCAGACCAAGUCGGCGGUGAAAGCGCCCGGCUCAACUGGGCGAGGUCCGUGGAAACUGGUCAGCUAGAGGACGGUAGAGGCGAGUGGAAUUCCCGGUGUAGUGGUGAAAUGCGUAGAGAUCGGGAGGAACACCUGUGGCGAAGGCGGCUCGCUGGGCCGGUCCUGACGCUGAGACGCGAAGGCGUGGGGAGCGAACGGGAUUAGAAACCCUGGUAGUCC